CGCGGCCUAUCAGCUUGUUGGUGAGGUAACGGCUCACCAAGGCAUCGACGGGUAGCUGGUCUGAGAGGACGAUCAGCCACACUGGGACUGAGACACGGCCCAGACUCCUACGGGAGGCAGCAGUAGGGAAUCUUGCACAAUGGGCGAAAGCCUGAUGCAGCGACGCCGCGUGGGGGAUGAAGGCCCUCGGGUUGUAAACCCCUUUCAGUGGGGACGAAACUGACGGUACCCACAGAAGAAGGUCCGGCCAACUACGUGCCAGCAGCCGCGGUAACACGUAGGGACCGAGCGUUGUCCGGAAUUAUUGGGCGUAAAGAGCUCGUAGGUGGUUCAGUAAGUCGAAUGUGAAAACUCAAGGCUCAACCUUGAGACGCCAUCCGAUACUGCUGUGACUAGAGUUCGGUAGAGGAGUGUGGAAUUCCUGGUGUAGCGGUGAAAUGCGCAGAUAUCAGGAGGAACACCGACGGCGAAGGCAGCACUCUGGGCCGGUACUGACGCUCAGGAGCGAAAGCGUGGGUAGCAAACAGGAUUAGAUACCCUGGUAGUCCACGCCGUAAACGUUGGGCACUAGGUGUGGGACCUUAUCAACGGGUUCUGUGCCGUAGCUAACGCAUUAAGUGCCCCGCCUGGGGAGUACGG
This 639-nucleotide ribosomal RNA is filed under the name uncultured bacterium. Its description in RNAcentral is "bacterial SSU rRNA". It matches the Rfam family "Bacterial small subunit ribosomal RNA", at positions 232 to 885 of the family's 1533-position model. The record is from RNAcentral.